RNAcentral lists this transfer RNA (67 nucleotides) under Marmota monax (woodchuck). RNAcentral's name for it is "tRNA.Thr". The record is from RNAcentral. Lineage: Eukaryota; Metazoa; Chordata; Mammalia; Rodentia; Sciuridae.
GGAUAUAGCUCAGUGGUAGAGCACUUGCCUAGUGUGCACAAGGCCCUGGGUUCAAUCUCAAGUUCCA